This 216-nucleotide ribosomal RNA is filed under the name Campeiostachys nutans. RNAcentral's name for it is "Elymus nutans partial small subunit ribosomal RNA". The stretch from base 40 to 216 matches the Rfam family "Eukaryotic small subunit ribosomal RNA", at positions 686 to 864 of the family's 1831-position model. Lineage: Eukaryota; Viridiplantae; Streptophyta; Magnoliopsida; Poales; Poaceae. The record is from RNAcentral.
GGGUUAGUAGGUUGGUCAUGCCUCUGGUAUGUACUGGUCUCACUGAUUCCUCCUUCCUGAUGAACCUUAAUGCCAUUUAUUUGGUGUUUUGGGGAAUUUGGACUGUUACUUUGAAAAAAUUAGAGUGUUUAAAGCAGGCCUAUGCUUGAAUACAUUAGCAUGGAAUAAUGAAAUAGGACGUUCGAUCCUAUUUUGUUGGUUUCUAGGAUUGACGUA